Molecule: ribosomal RNA, 408 nt
Filed under: uncultured bacterium
Lineage: Bacteria
Description: partial 16S ribosomal RNA
Rfam family: Bacterial small subunit ribosomal RNA
Source: RNAcentral
GACGAACGCUGGCGGCGUGCUUAACACAUGCAAGUCGAACGGAGUGGCGAACGGGUGAGUAACACGUGGGUGAACUGCCUUGCACUUCGGGGUAAGCUUGGGAAACUGGGUCCAAUACCGGAUAGUGCAAGAUGGGCUCGCGGCCUGUGAGCUCGUUGGGGGGGUAAUGGCCUACCAAGGCGUCGACGGGUAUCCGGCCUGUGAGAGUGUACGGGCACAAUGGGCCUGCGAUACGGACCAGACGGCUACGGGAGGCAGCGGUGGGGAGUAUGGCGCAAUGGUGGCAAGUCUGAUGCAGCGGCGCUGGGGUGGUAAUGUACGUCUUCGGGUUGGAAACUCCUUUCGGCAGGUACGCGGUACCUGCAUAAGAAGCACCGGCUAACUACGUGCCAGCAGCCGCGGUAAUAC